AUGUCCCCAUCUCUACAUUUCAAGCCUCUACACAGCAACAACAACAAGAAGCCCUCUUCACGCCCUCACCACCUUCAGUUCACCAUGACUCCCUUCCUCGUUGUUUUCACCAUCCUCUUGUGCCUACGCACCCCAGCAAAUUCCGCCGUGACAGACACCAUCUUGCCCGGCCAAGCACUUGGCGUCGACAACAAGCUCGUCUCCAGCAAUGGAAGGUACGCGCUCGGCUUCUUCCAGACUGGACACACCGCCAACUGGUACCUUGGCAUAUGGUUCAACACGGUACUAAAAUUCACUUCAGCAUGGGUUGCAAAUAGGGAUAAGCCAAUCAGGAACACCACCUCACUGGAGCUCACGAUCUCCCACGAUGGCAACCUUGUCAUCGUAAACUGGUCCACCAAGUCCGUGAUCUGGUCUACACAAGUAAACAUCAAAAGAAAUAUCACCACUGCUGCUACGCUGUUGAGUAGUGGAAAUCUUAUCCUGACAGACUCUUCAAACUCAUCAGAGGUUUUGUGGCAGAGCUUUGACCACCCCAUGGAUACAUUUUUUCCUGGGGCGAAGCUCGGAUGGGACAAGGUCACAGGCCUGGAGUGCCGUUUUGUUUCUUGGAAGAACUUGGUCGACCCGGCUACCGGUGCGUACUGUGAGCAGUUAGACCCCAGUGGUGUUGACCAGUUACUGCUUGUAGCACUGAACUCAUCCAUACCAUAUUGGUCCACCGGUGUAUGGAACGGCAAAUACUUCGCUGCACUUCAAUAA
This 762-nucleotide ribosomal RNA is filed under the name Triticum aestivum (bread wheat). RNAcentral describes it as "partial small subunit ribosomal RNA". Lineage: Eukaryota; Viridiplantae; Streptophyta; Magnoliopsida; Poales; Poaceae. The record is from RNAcentral.